CACGGUAUCCAAAAUCCAUACAAAUCAUACAAACAUCAAAAACAAAUAUCAAUUAUAAUUUAAGUAUAUAUAUAUAUAUAUAUAGCAAUUUUUUAAAUUCCAUGUAAAUCAUAAAUCCAAUAAUAUUAUUUUUAAAAAAACGAAGUGUAAAAAUGCAUCGAGCGUUAAUCCUUUCCGAUCUCCCCUCGGAACACAUCGAAGAAAGUGUGAGCAAGCGGCCCGCGCGAUGGCACCCGUAAUUGCGCACGGUGUGAGAGGGUUGCGUUUCUCUGGCGCAAGGUAUAAGUGCGGGUUAGUAGACGCAAACCCACUACGCGAGGGACGACUAGCUAUUUCAGAGGAGUAACCGAGUCGGAAGUCCGUCGUAGCCGCAAGUUAAAUAGCUUUCCGUUACCGGUCGCAUUACUCGCCGACGUACUGAAAACGCUCCUUUCCACUCUCCCUUUCUCUUCGACCGUGUAUGUGCGCGCGCCACGCCUCGCUCGAAUGAGUAAUGCGGUCGACGCGCACUCGCGCCUCUGUCUCUCUCUCUUUCUCUUUCUCUCUACGUUUCGCGUGAAAAUUUCCUUCAGUGUUGUCCACCUAUAUGCGAGUCUUCAUCUGUAAACUUUCGCAGCGAUGCGGAUUGGAGGGGAGAGAGAAGAGGGGAAGGAUGAGUUUCCUAGUUGAAGGAGGGUUCUCGUGGAGGGAAAUGGAAGGUUUCGUGGUUGGCUGCUUUUGAUGGGACAGAAGUGAAGUCUGUAAUACGUGUGAUCGAGCGGAUAGGUUCGCGUUACUAUUUUGUGUUGGAAAUCGGUUCACCGGUGUUCUGCGAGUAAUGCAGAGGUUCUCAAAAUGAUAAGGGUACGAAUUCCUGCACGGUUGGAACCGUUCCUUUCCCUUUCGUCAGCUCGUUUACCGUUUCCAGGAUCAUCCCUCUUCCCCAAGAGACACCUGAUGUCCUCGUUCCACCUUCGAAUUAAUGGCUAUCGAAUUGCUCGAACCAUUCUCCAGGAUUCCAGGUCGACCAGGGAAGAGGAUCGGUUUCAGCGAACUAGUCUCUCCUCGAGUCUAGAAUUUCAGAUGUAGUUUAUUAUAAUAAAUGUGAUAAUAAUGUGUGAAAAUAAUUUAUCGUGUUUAAGAGUAAUUUUUUAGAAAUAAUAAAAAAAAAAAAAGAGGAAAAUUUUUUCUAUAUUUUAAAAUUUAAUUAUAUGGACAAGGAUGUUAUAAUAUGUUGAAAGCAAAUAUAAAAAUUGAUAUACGAGAUUAAAUUGUACGUAUUUUUUGAUUUUAUUGGACAUUUUAUGAUAAAAUAAUUUAUCAAGUUGGAAGUAAUUUUGCAAAAAUGAAUUACAACAAUUUUAUAAAUAAAAAAGAAGAGGAAAA
Long non-coding RNA from Apis cerana (Asiatic honeybee), 1365 nucleotides. RefSeq lists it as uncharacterized. The record is from RefSeq and is a predicted model, not a curated record. Lineage: Eukaryota; Metazoa; Arthropoda; Insecta; Hymenoptera; Apidae.